AACGAACGCUGGCGGCAUGCCUAACACAUGCAAGUCGAACGGGAUCCGAGCUUCGGUUCGGUGAGAGUGGCGGACGGGUGAGUAACGCGUGGGAACCUGCCCAGUGGUGGGGGGAUAACUGCGGGAAACUGCAGCUAAUACCGCAUGAGCCCGAGAGGGGAAAGAUUUAUCGCCAUUGGAGGGCCCGCGUUCGAUUAGGUAGUUGGUGAGGUUACGGCUCACCAAGCCUUCGAUCGAUAGCUGGUCUGAGAGGAUGAUCAGCCACACUGGGACUGAGAUACGGCCCAGACUCCUACGGGAGGCAGCAGUGGGGAAUAUUGGACAAUGGGGGGCAACCCUGAUCCAGCAAUGCCGCGUGAGUGAUGAAGGCCUUCGGUUGUAAAGCUCUUUUGUCUAGGGACGAUGAUGACGGUACCUGGAGAAUAAGCCCGGCUAACUCGUGCCAGCAG
RNAcentral lists this ribosomal RNA (449 nucleotides) under uncultured bacterium. RNAcentral describes it as "bacterial SSU rRNA". It matches the Rfam family "Bacterial small subunit ribosomal RNA", at positions 29 to 514 of the family's 1533-position model. The record is from RNAcentral.